GGCUGGUCCGAUGCUGGUGGGUUAUCAGAACUUACUAACAUUAGUGUCACUAAAGUUGGUAUACAACCCCCCACUGCUAAAUUUGACUGGCUUAAA
RNAcentral lists this Y RNA (96 nucleotides) under Cebus imitator (Panamanian white-faced capuchin). RNAcentral's name for it is "Y RNA (ENSCCAG00000011835.1)". It matches the Rfam family "Y RNA". From Rfam's summary of the family: Y RNAs are components of the Ro ribonucleoprotein particle (Ro RNP), in association with Ro60 and La proteins. The record is from Rfam by way of RNAcentral. Lineage: Eukaryota; Metazoa; Chordata; Mammalia; Primates; Cebidae.